GAGGGUAUAGCUCAGUGGCAGAGCACAUGCUUAGCAUGCAUGAGGCCCUGGGUUCAAUCCCCCAGUACCUCCA
This 73-nucleotide transfer RNA is filed under the name Camelus bactrianus (Bactrian camel). It matches the Rfam family "tRNA". Rfam says of the family: Transfer RNA (tRNA) molecules are approximately 80 nucleotides in length. RNAcentral also lists the same sequence under 2 other names. The record is from Rfam by way of RNAcentral. Lineage: Eukaryota; Metazoa; Chordata; Mammalia; Artiodactyla; Camelidae.